GCCCAGGAGAGGCAAAGCACCUUCGUCCACAGUGAAGCGAGUCUUAGUGAUGGUCCAGUUGGAGUACCGAUUGCUGUCCACUGCCCGGACUCUGGCCCUGUAGCCAUAGCUAUGGUCGAGGUUCCGUACCUGAGGAGAUACCAGAACAGGCACUGGGGAAUCAGCUUGUGCUCAAAUCUUUCUCCUUUUAAGAGGGAAGGAAAAGGCCAGUUAUGUUUAUGAAUACUUUUCCAGAAUACCAGGAAGCCCUCUGAGCCAAUAGCUGCUCACCUUAGGGAUCCCAGCACACUGCUCAAUUCAUAUGACACUCAAUUCUAAAGGGCAGACUGAAGGAACCUGGAACUAGCAGCUUGCCGGUAUGACCUCUAGCAGAGGAGUGACCCCCUUGAGAUCCUCUGUCCUCUUUUGUAACAAUACAAUAAACAUUUCUAUUUGAAUUCUG
Mastomys coucha (southern multimammate mouse) is the source of this 442-nucleotide long non-coding RNA. RefSeq lists it as uncharacterized. NCBI's taxonomy places the organism in Eukaryota, Metazoa, Chordata, Mammalia, Rodentia, Muridae. The record is from RefSeq and is a predicted model, not a curated record. The transcript has 4 exons.